GAUGAACGCUAGCUACAGGCUUAACACAUGCAAGUCGAGGGGAAACGAUAUUGGAAGCUUGCUUCCGAUAGGCGUCGACCGGCGCACGGGUGAGUAACGCGUAUCCAACCUGCCCACCACUUGGGGAUAACCUUGCGAAAGUAAGACUAAUACCCAAUGACGUCUCUAGAAGGCAUCUGAAAGAGAUUAAAGAUUUAUCGGUGAUGGAUGGGGAUGCGUCUGAUUAGCUUGUUGGCGGGGUAACGGCCCACCAAGGCGACGAUCAGUAGGGGUUCUGAGAGGAAAGUCCCCCCACAUUGGAACUGAGACACGGUCCAAACUCCUACGGGAGGCAGCAGGUGAGGAAUAUUGGUCAAUGGGGCGGAAGCCUGAACCCAGCCAAGUAGCGUGCAGGACGACGGCCCUAUGGGUUGUAAACUGCUUUUAUGCGGGGAUAAAGUGGGCCACGCGUGGCCUUUUGCAGGUACCGCAAGAAUAA
RNAcentral lists this ribosomal RNA (478 nucleotides) under uncultured bacterium. RNAcentral describes it as "bacterial SSU rRNA". It matches the Rfam family "Bacterial small subunit ribosomal RNA", at positions 28 to 489 of the family's 1533-position model. The record is from RNAcentral.